UGAGGAAUAUUGGUCAAUGGAGGCAACUCUGAACCAGCCAAGUCGCGUGAAGGAUGAAGGUCUUAUGGAUUGUAAACUUCUUUUGCAAGGGAAUAAAGUGGGGGACGUGUCCUCCUUUGCAUGUACCUUGCGAAUAAGGAUCGGCUAACUCCGUGCCAGCAGCCGCGGUAAUACGGAGGAUCCGAGCGUUAUCCGGAUUUAUUGGGUUUAAAGGGUGCGCAGGCGGGAUGUUAAGUCGGCGGUGAAAUUUUGCAGCUCAACUGUAAAAGUGCCUUCGAUACUGGCUUUCUUGAGUGUGGAUGAAGUAGGCGGAAUUUGUGGUGUAGCGGUGAAAUGCUUAGAUAUCACGAGGAACUCCGAUUGCGCAGGCAGCUUACUAAACCACUACUGACGCUCAUGCACGAAGGCGUGGGGAUCAAACAGG
Molecule: ribosomal RNA, 424 nt
Filed under: uncultured bacterium
Lineage: Bacteria
Also listed under: 3 other names
Description: bacterial SSU rRNA
Rfam family: Bacterial small subunit ribosomal RNA
Source: RNAcentral